Molecule: ribosomal RNA, 212 nt
Rfam family: Bacterial large subunit ribosomal RNA
AGUCAAGAUGAGAAUUCUAAGGUGAGCGAGCGAACUCUCGUUAAGGAACUCGGCAAAAUGACCCCGUAACUUCGGGAGAAGGGGUGCUCUUUAGGGUUAACGCCCAGAAGAGCCGCAGUGAAUAGGCCCAAGCGACUGUUUAUCAAAAACACAGGUCUCUGCUAAACCGUAAGGUGAUGUAUAGGGGCUGACGCCUGCCCGGUGCUGGAAGG